AUACGGAGGGUGCGAGCGUUAAUCGGAAUUACUGGGCGUAAAGGGUGCGUAGGCGGCUUGAUAAGUCGGAUGUGAAAGCCCCGGGCUUAACCUGGGAAUUGCAUUCGAUACUGUCAGGCUAGAGUAUGUCAGAGGUUGGCGGAAUUCCUGGUGUAGCGGUGAAAUGCGUAGAUAUCAGGAGGAACGCCAGUGGCGAAGGCGGCUAACUGGGGCAAUACUGACGCUGAGGCACGAAAGCGUGGGGAGCAAACAGGAUUAGAUACCCUAGUAGUCC
RNAcentral lists this ribosomal RNA (274 nucleotides) under uncultured bacterium. RNAcentral describes it as "partial 16S ribosomal RNA". It matches the Rfam family "Bacterial small subunit ribosomal RNA", at positions 523 to 796 of the family's 1533-position model. The record is from RNAcentral.